UACGUAGGGGGCAAGCGUUGUCCGGAAUCAUUGGGCGUAAAGCGCGUGUAGGCGGUUCGGUAAGUCUGCUGUGAAAGUCCAGGGCUCAACCCUGGGAUGCCGGUGGAUACUGUCGGACUAGAGUACGGAAGAGGCGAGUGGAAUUCCCGGUGUAGCGGUGAAAUGCGCAGAUAUCAGGAGGAACACCGAUGGCGAAGGCAGGUCUCUGGGCACUUACUGACGCUGAGGAGCGAAAGCGUGGGGAGCGAACAGG
This 253-nucleotide ribosomal RNA is filed under the name uncultured bacterium. Its description in RNAcentral is "partial 16S ribosomal RNA". It matches the Rfam family "Bacterial small subunit ribosomal RNA", at positions 524 to 776 of the family's 1533-position model. The record is from RNAcentral.